Long non-coding RNA from Bombus impatiens (common eastern bumble bee), 592 nucleotides. RefSeq lists it as uncharacterized. The transcript has 2 exons. NCBI's taxonomy places the organism in Eukaryota, Metazoa, Arthropoda, Insecta, Hymenoptera, Apidae. The record is from RefSeq and is a predicted model, not a curated record.
AUAGCAUUGCUCGUUUCAUUUGCUUUAUGCUGUUUGUCUUCCUACGUUAACGAAGUUUGUUAGUUUUACAAAUUGUAAGUGAAUCGUGGUAGCGACGUGGCCGGCGGUGCUUUUAACGGAAUAUUUUGUAGCUUGUAACUCGAGUGUUCAGCAUCGGAUCAGCAAAGGCUUUUGAUCAUCGAUGCUGCACUGCUACGUGCAUCUCCGUCGAAGCGCACGUCGAGCUGUCUGUCUUUUUCCUCUAUGUCUCCCUGUAUAGGUUAUUUUCGGUGUAGCACGGAGAAAUACGAAAGUGCGGUGUCUCUCCCGGGCACUUGAGAUAGGUGCUGCACUUUUAGUCGGUAUUCACACGGCGGCCACAACGACACUGCAUCAGUGGAUGCUAAAUGGGCUUAAAUGAUGCUUUCAAUGUUUAAAUUACAAAGAACAUGCAUCAUGUACGAUAUUAUGUGUAACGACAGUGGAAGAAAGAAGAGAAGACAACUAAAUUGCAACUCGGGCAAAUUACAAUGAAAGACAAUUGCACUGAAAAACAGAAAUAAUAAUUUCAUUGUACUUUAUAAUUCUAUAAAAUAAAAAUACGUUCUGUAUA